This 589-nucleotide ribosomal RNA is filed under the name bacterium BWS1A. Its description in RNAcentral is "bacterial SSU rRNA". It matches the Rfam family "Bacterial small subunit ribosomal RNA", at positions 338 to 916 of the family's 1533-position model. The record is from RNAcentral.
CCUUCGGGGAGGCAGCAGUAGGGAAUUUUCCACAAUGGACGCAAGUCUGAUGGAGCAACGCCGCGUGAGUGAAGAAGGGUUUCGGCUCGUAAAGCUCUGUUGUUAAAGAAGAACGUGUCUGAGAGUAACUGUUCACGCAUUGACGGUAUUUAACCAGAAAGCCACGGCUAACUACGUGCCAGCAGCCGCGGUAAUACGUAGGUGGCAAGCGUUGUCCGGAUUUAUUGGGCGUAAAGCGAGCGCAGGCGGUUUUUUAAGUCUGAUGUGAAAGCCUUCGGCUCAACCGAAGAAGUGCAUUGGAAACUGGGAAACUUGAGUGCAGAAGAGGACAGUGGAACUCCAUGUGUAGCGGUGAAAUGCGUAGAUAUAUGGAAGAACACCAGUGGCGAAGGCGGCUGUCUGGUCUGUAACUGACGCUGAGGCUCGAAAGUAUGGGUAGCGAACAGGAUUAGAUACCCUGGUAGUCCAUGCCGUAAACGAUGAUUGCUAAGUGUUGGAGGGUUUCCGCCCUUCAGUGCUGCAGCUAACGCAUUAAGUAUUCCGCCUGGGGAGUACGGCCGCAAGGUUGAAACUCAAAGAAUUUUGACGG